AAACAAAUAGCUUAAAGUCUUAAAGCAUUACAUUGAAGCUGUAAAUAUAGAAUGUUUCUUUUGUUUA
This 67-nucleotide transfer RNA is filed under the name Phyllidia ocellata. RNAcentral describes it as "tRNA-Phe". It matches the Rfam family "tRNA". From Rfam's summary of the family: Transfer RNA (tRNA) molecules are approximately 80 nucleotides in length. The record is from RNAcentral. Lineage: Eukaryota; Metazoa; Mollusca; Gastropoda; Nudibranchia; Phyllidiidae.